Otolemur garnettii (small-eared galago) is the source of this 131-nucleotide small nucleolar RNA. The record is from Ensembl. Lineage: Eukaryota; Metazoa; Chordata; Mammalia; Primates; Galagidae.
GGCCUCUCUCUAUUGGGGCUGUGGAGGUUCCAGUUCAUCCUCAGCCAAGGACGGAGACCACCAUCAGCCCCUGAGGACCACUGUCAGCACUGCCAUGAGCAGGCACCCUUGUUUGCCUGCCUCGGACAUUU